This 775-nucleotide ribosomal RNA is filed under the name uncultured Neocallimastigales. Its description in RNAcentral is "partial large subunit ribosomal RNA". It matches the Rfam family "Eukaryotic large subunit ribosomal RNA", at positions 24 to 642 of the family's 3401-position model. Lineage: Eukaryota; Fungi; Neocallimastigomycota; Neocallimastigomycetes; Neocallimastigales. The record is from RNAcentral.
UAUCUCUGUAGAGUCUGCAUAUCAAUAAGCGGAGGAAAAGAAACUAACAAGGAUUCCCCUAGUAACGGCGAGUGAAGCGGGGAAGAGCUCAAAUUUGAAUCUUCAAGGUUUGACCUUGACGAAUUGUAGUUUAAAGAAGUGUUUUCGAUUAGAGGAGUAGUAAAAGUUCUUUGGAAUAGGACAUCAUAGAGGGUGAGAAUCCCGUAUUUGACUAUUCUUUCUAGCUUUGUGAUACACUUUCAAAGAGUCGGAUUGUUUGGGAAUGCAGUCCAAAAUGGGUGGUAAAUUUCAUCUAAAGCUAAAUAUUGGCGAGGAGACCGAUAGCGAACAAGUACCGUGAGGGAAAGAUGAAAAGAACUUUGAAAAGAGAGUUAAACAGUACGUGAAAUUGUCAAAAGGGAAGCGUUUGACACCAGUGUUGUUUUUCCGAAAAUCAAUUAAAAAUUGAUUCAUGCCAGGUUGUAUUGACCUUAUCAGCUUGCAAUUUGGUUUUGGGUCUCUUUUUGAUGCACUUUUCGGUUAACAAGUCAACAUCAAUUUCCUUUGCUGUAAAAAGGUAAGAGGAAGGUGGCUUCAAUUUCGGUUGAAGUGUUUACAGCCUUUUAUCUCUGCAGUCGGGGAAAUUGAGGUCUGCAGCGUAGAUCCUUCGGGGCUAGAUACGUUUAUGCUAAGUUAUAGCUUUUCAUAGACAACUUGUUGACUAUGUUUAGUCAUGUAGCUUACUCGUAAGUGCUAUUUUACCUACGCUUAGGAUGUUGAAGACUCUACAGAGAUA